Molecule: long non-coding RNA, 206 nt
Organism: Mya arenaria
Lineage: Eukaryota; Metazoa; Mollusca; Bivalvia; Myida; Myidae
Exons: 3
Source: RefSeq, a predicted model, not a curated record
UGCAAAUGGGCGCAAUGCAAUGGAUUUCAGCGAACGAGCUACGAAGACCUGGAGUUACACAUUAUACACGACCACUUCUUUGAUGACAGAAUCACCUUUCCUUCCCUAGAUGAUUGGCUGGAAUAUCUCCCAGAAAAAAGAAUCGACCCAGAAACCACUGAUUUACGCUUCUGUCCAAAACACCUGAGAAGCAAGCUGAAGUUGUU